GCCAGCUUAGCUCAGUGGCAGAGCUACUGAUUUGUAAUCAGUGGGUCCCCGGUUCGAGUCCGGGAGCUGGCUCCA
Molecule: transfer RNA, 75 nt
Filed under: Verrucomicrobiota bacterium
Lineage: Bacteria; Pseudomonadati; Verrucomicrobiota
Description: Verrucomicrobia bacterium (groundwater metagenome) tRNA-Thr
Rfam family: tRNA
About the family: Transfer RNA (tRNA) molecules are approximately 80 nucleotides in length. Their secondary structure includes four short double-helical elements and three loops (D, anti-codon, and T loops).
Source: RNAcentral